ACAGAAAAUAACUUCAUUCUGCAAUUGAAAGAAUCACAGCAAGCUCUCAUUGUAUCAAGGCAAACUGGCGGUCAUACUCUUCUCUAAAUGAGCCAACACUCCCUAGGAGACCUCAGUAGAACUCCCUCUUCUCUGCUGGAAAGGUUUUGCCUCCCCAGGACCCAUCCCUCACCAUCCAUGCAUGACAUUCUGGCCUCAAGUAUCCACUCCUCAAAGGAAAAGAAAUUGGAGAGAUUCGCCUUGAAAAUAAGCCUUCAUAUUAGUGACUUCCUUCUUUUAAAGGACAUCGAACAAGUUUUAUCCUCUUAUCGAUGAGUGGAACCUCUUUCUCCAUAACUUGAAUCUGCACUGGCCAUCUGGCUUGCUUUGGCCUAAAGAAUGUGGGCCAUUUCUGAGUCCAGGCUUCAAGAGGACUUUGCAUUUCCUUUUUCUCUCUUGACACACUGUUGAAGUAUAAUGUAAAUGAGCCAGGGCACUCUUAGAAGGUGAGAUACGUAGUUCAAUGGUUCUCAUUGCUCUAGGUGAUAUCCAGCUAACCCCCAGAAGCAGAGCAACUUGAACAAGUUGCGGCUGACCACUGAUCCUCAUGGAGUCAGCUUCAAUUAGAAGAAUUGCUCAACUGAGUGUGGUCUAAAUGAUCUAUUUCUAAAUUAUGAACACAAUAAAUGCUUAUUGUUUUAAGCCACUGAGAAUUAAGGUGACUUGUUAUGCAGUAACAGAUAAUUGAUAGACUGUUCAUGAGUUCUGUGUCUCUGAAGAGUU
RNAcentral lists this long non-coding RNA (762 nucleotides) under Homo sapiens (human). RNAcentral's name for it is "HSALNT0301941". Lineage: Eukaryota; Metazoa; Chordata; Mammalia; Primates; Hominidae. The record is from RNAcentral.